AUGAAUACCCAAUUCCCUACUGUAGAUGCAAAUAAUUCAUAUGGUGUUACUAGAUCAUUCAAUGAUUAUACGGUAUUGGCCAGCCCUAGUUUUUUCAAUGCAUCUAAUUACGUGCAUAGGCCGAUCCAAAGUAUUUUACAUAUUUCAACUUCUUAUGAUACUAAUAACAUACAACGUAUGUAUCCUAACUCUCAUGCAUCGGCAACCCCACAAAUCCAUAUGCCGAUGAACAACAUGAUGGGUUUGGUUAAUCAAUUUGAAACACCUUAUGUUAAAAUUUCCAAUGGCAUACAAGAAAGUGUUUCGCCCUUUUAUUCAUCGGCAACUAAUUUGCAAUAUGUGAAUCCAACCUUGCCGAUGUAUGGGAGAAUUGGCCAUACUGCUACUAGCUAUUCGGCCAGUUACUCUCAACCAUCAUAUGCUACACCUCAUGACAGUAAUAUUUCAGCAGCAUACACAACUGUAGAUGUUCGGUUUCACACCUUUCUGGUCAUAGCCGAAUAA
Molecule: ribosomal RNA, 504 nt
Filed under: Triticum aestivum (bread wheat)
Lineage: Eukaryota; Viridiplantae; Streptophyta; Magnoliopsida; Poales; Poaceae
Description: partial small subunit ribosomal RNA
Source: RNAcentral